This 381-nucleotide ribosomal RNA is filed under the name uncultured bacterium. Its description in RNAcentral is "bacterial SSU rRNA". It matches the Rfam family "Bacterial small subunit ribosomal RNA", at positions 524 to 909 of the family's 1533-position model. The record is from RNAcentral.
UACGAAGGGAGCUAGCGUUGUUCGGAAUCACUGGGCGUAAAGCGCACGUAGGCGGAUAUGCCAGUCAGGGGUGAAAUCCCGGAGCUCAACUUCGGAACUGCCCUUGAUACAGCAUGUCUUGAGUCCGAGAGAGGUGAGUGGAAUUCCUAGUGUGGAGGUGAAAUUCGUAGAUAUUAGGAAGAACACCGGAGGCGAAGGCGGCUCACUGGCUCGGUACUGACGCUGAGGUGCGAAAGCGUGGGGGAGCAAACAGGAUUAGAUACCCUGGUAGUCCACGCUGUAAACGAUGGAUGCUAGCCGUCAGCAAGCAUGCUUGUUGGUGCGCAGCUAACGCAUUAAGCAUCCCGCUGGGAUACGGCCGCAAGGUUAAACUCAAAGGAU